CGUGUUUUCAGUCAAAAGCAUACGAAAAACACCGUUCGAAAGUAGAAAAAUAAAUAUUUUUGCGAAGUUGCUCAACCAAUCUUCAUUUUGGGACUCAAAUUUGAAAGAUAAAUGGUAAGUGGUUAUUUUUAUGUAAAAAGAUAUACGUUUAUAGGCUAAAUACAAAGAAAAAAAAUAUAAUACAAUUUACAAUCUCGGUGCUUGUGAUGUUCUUGCCAAGAAGCAGAUUCCCAUUUCGCUAAAUUAAUGCGGGCCAAACGUAUUGCUUUCCUGUCUUUUACAUUAAUAAGAAAUCAUAGGUGCUGAUUUGAAACACGUCCAUCAGGUUCCAUGCAUGUAGCUUUGCGAUUUGUGAGCAAAAAUUAAAAGUUAAACUACCUAUGUUUUUAAUACUUUCUGUGCAACUAAUAACCACAUUCACAAAUAUAUUCUCCAGCAAAGAAACGUUUCUUUACGGAUUGUCACAUGCAGAAUAGCAGAGACUACUGUCAUUGACAUCCUUUGUCACAAAAUUAUGAUGGCAUAUUGGACAGCUAUGUUGGAUAAGGCACUUCCUUAAUAAAUAGCCUGACACAUAAGUUCAUGUAGACUAAGUUUUGUUCAAUUUCAUUUGUUUUGUAGUCGGUAUCUUCAACUGCUUGGAUUAGUGGUGGGCUUGUCUGAUCAUUUCCUGCAGAUAAAUCAGAUUGGCUAGGGUGAAAUGCAAUCAAAUAGGCAUCAGAAUCUUCAGCACAGGUGCCAAUUGAAAGUGGUGUCAAAAUAUUAUCUACAAAUAAUAUUCAAAAUGCUCUGGUGAACUGGAUGGAACUAGUUGGUUGUCACAAUUCCCCCCCCCCCCCUGCUGCCUAAUGAGGCCAAAGAAGUUCUCCAGAGGAUCUUGGUUGAGACAUCUUGUCAUGAGAAACUCCAAGGAAUGAUGUUGGUUUAUAAGGUCUUGAAAUGUAAAUACUACAGUGUAAUUACUACUGACAGUGUAAAUACUACAACAGUGAAAUGUAAAUGCAACAGUGUAAUUGGGUUUAAAAAUACAAAGUUUAUUUU
This is a non-coding RNA of Paramuricea clavata, 1041 nucleotides long. The record is from the annotation of a GenBank genome assembly. Lineage: Eukaryota; Metazoa; Cnidaria; Anthozoa; Malacalcyonacea; Plexauridae.